GCUGGGCAUAGUGGCGUGCGCCUGUAGUCCCAGCUACUCGGGAGGCUGAGGCAGGAGAAUUGCUUGAACCCAGGAAGUGGAGGUUGCGAUGAGCCGAGAUCGCACCAUUGCACUCCAGCCUGGGUAGUGAGCGAAACUCCGUCUCAAAAAAAAAAAAAAAAAAAAAAAGAUGAAUUCUUGCUCUGUUGCCCAGGCUGGAGUGCAGUGGUGUGAUCUUAGCUCACUGCAACCUCUGCCUCCUGGGUUCAAGCAAUUCUUGUGCCUCAG
RNAcentral lists this small RNA (267 nucleotides) under Callithrix jacchus (white-tufted-ear marmoset). RNAcentral describes it as "Metazoan signal recognition particle RNA (ENSCJAG00000084652.1)". Lineage: Eukaryota; Metazoa; Chordata; Mammalia; Primates; Cebidae. The record is from Rfam by way of RNAcentral.